GUCUGAUUAGCUGGUUGGUGAGUAACGGCUCUACCAAGGCAACGAUCAGUAGCCGGCUUGAGAGAGUGAACGGCCACAUUGGGACUGAGACACGGCCCAAACUCCUACGGGAGGCAGCAGUGGGGAAUAUUGCACAAUGGGGGAAACCCUGAUGCAGCGACGCCGCGUGAGUGAAGAAGUAUUUCGGUAUGUAAAGGUCUAUCAGCAAGGAAGAAGAGAGACGGUACUUGACUAAGAAGCCCCGGCUAACUAC
This 253-nucleotide ribosomal RNA is filed under the name uncultured bacterium. RNAcentral's name for it is "partial 16S ribosomal RNA". It matches the Rfam family "Bacterial small subunit ribosomal RNA", at positions 235 to 504 of the family's 1533-position model. The record is from RNAcentral.